GGCUAGAUGGCCGAGCGGUCUAAGGCGCCACGUUAAGGUUUCUUUCAAACCCUUAAUCUCAACUCCACUUCCAGAGUUCCGUGGUCUCGUAAGGGGCGUGAGUUCGAAUCUCACUCUAGUCA
Molecule: transfer RNA, 122 nt
Organism: Podospora anserina
Lineage: Eukaryota; Fungi; Ascomycota; Sordariomycetes; Sordariales; Podosporaceae
Rfam family: tRNA
About the family: Transfer RNA (tRNA) molecules are approximately 80 nucleotides in length. Their secondary structure includes four short double-helical elements and three loops (D, anti-codon, and T loops). Further hydrogen bonds mediate the characteristic L-shaped molecular structure. tRNAs have two regions of fundamental functional importance: the anti-codon, which is responsible for specific mRNA codon recognition, and the 3' end, to which the tRNAs corresponding amino acid is attached (by aminoacyl-tRNA synthetases). tRNAs cope with the degeneracy of the genetic code in two manners: having more than one tRNA (with a specific anti-codon) for a particular amino acid; and 'wobble' base-pairing, i.e. permitting non-standard base-pairing at the 3rd anti-codon position.
Source: Rfam